CCUACGGGAGGCCAGCAGUGGGGAAUAUUGCACAAUGGGGGAAACCCUGAUGCAGCAACGCAGCGUGAGUGAUGAAGGCCUUCGGGUCGUAAAGCUCUUUGAUCAGGGACGAUAAUGACGGUACCUGAAAAACAAGCCACGGCUAACUACGUGCCAGCAGCCGCGGUAAUACGUAGGUGGCGAGCGUUGUCCGGAUUUACUGGGCGUAAAGAAUGCGUAGGUGGAUAUUUAAGUGGGAUGUGAAAUCCCCGGGCUCAACCCGGGAACUGCAUACCAAACUGGAUAUCUGGAGUGCAGGAGAGGAAAGCGGAAUUCCUAGUGUAGCGGUGAAAUGCGUAGAUAUUAGGAGGAACACCAGUGGCGAAGGCGGCUUUCUGGACUGUAACUGACACUGAGGCAUGAAAGCGUGGGGAGCAAACAGGAUUAGAUACCCUGGUAGUCCACGCCGUAAACUAUGGGUACUAGGUGUAGGGGGUAUCGACUCCCCCUGUGCCGUCGUUAACACAAUAAGUACCCCGCCUGGGGAGUACGGUCGCAAGACUAAAACUCAAAGGAAUUGACGG
This 563-nucleotide ribosomal RNA is filed under the name uncultured bacterium. Its description in RNAcentral is "bacterial SSU rRNA". It matches the Rfam family "Bacterial small subunit ribosomal RNA", at positions 338 to 916 of the family's 1533-position model. The record is from RNAcentral.